Molecule: ribosomal RNA, 510 nt
Filed under: uncultured bacterium
Lineage: Bacteria
Description: bacterial SSU rRNA
Rfam family: Bacterial small subunit ribosomal RNA
Source: RNAcentral
CUGGCUCAGGAUGAACGCUAGCUACAGGCUUAACACAUGCAAGUCGAGGGGCAGCAUGAUCAAAGCUUGCUUUGGUUGAUGGCGACCGGCGCACGGGUGAGUAACGCGUAUCCAACCUUCCCCUUAGUAGGGCAUAGCCCGUAGAAAUGCGGAUUAAUACCCUAUGUUGUUCGUAGAGGACAUCUGAAAUGAACCAAAGGUUUACCGCUAAGGGAUGGGGAUGCGUCUGAUUAGGUAGUCGGCGGGGUAACGGCCCACCGAGCCCUCGAUCAGUAGGGGUUCUGAGAGGAAGGUCCCCCACAUUGGAACUGAGACACGGUCCAAACUCCUACGGGAGGCAGCAGUGAGGAAUAUUGGUCAAUGGACGAGAGUCUGAACCAGCCAAGUAGCGUGCAGGAUGACGGCCCUAUGGGUUGUAAACUGCUUUUAUACAGGGAUAAAGUUGGGAACGUGUUCCCUUUUGCAGGUACUGUAUGAAUAAGGACCGGCUAAUUCCGUGCCAGCCGCAGC